Molecule: ribosomal RNA, 433 nt
Filed under: Salmonella bongori
Lineage: Bacteria; Pseudomonadati; Pseudomonadota; Gammaproteobacteria; Enterobacterales; Enterobacteriaceae
Description: bacterial SSU rRNA
Rfam family: Bacterial small subunit ribosomal RNA
Source: RNAcentral
AAAUUGAAGAGUUUGAUCAUGGCUCAGAUUGAACGCUGGCGGCAGGCCUAACACAUGCAAGUCGAACGGUAACAGGAAGCAGCUUGCUGCUUCGCUGACGAGUGGCGGACGGGUGAGUAAUGUCUGGGAAACUGCCUGAUGGAGGGGGAUAACUACUGGAAACGGUGGCUAAUACCGCAUAACGUCGCAAGACCAAAGAGGGGGACCUUCGGGCCUCUUGCCAUCAGAUGUGCCCAGAUGGGAUUAGCUUGUUGGUGGGGUAACGGCCCACCAAGGCGACGAUCCCUAGCUGGUCUGAGAGGAUGACCAGCCACACUGGAACUGAGACACGGUCCAGACUCCUACGGGAGGCAGCAGUGGGGAAUAUUGCACAAUGGGCGCAAGCCUGAUGCAGCCAUGCCGCGUGUAUGAAGAAGGCCUUCGGGUUGUAAAG